AUCGCUUCUCGGCCUUUUGGCUAAGAUCAAGUGUAGUAUCUGUUCUUAUCAGUUUAAUAUCUGAUACGUCCCCUAUCUGGGGACCAUAUAUUAAAUUGAUUUUUGGAAUAGGGAGAUGGAAUAGGGGCUUGCUCCGUCCACUCCACGUAUCGACCUGGUAUUGCAGUACCUCCAGGAACGGUGCACCCCUG
RNAcentral lists this small nuclear RNA (191 nucleotides) under Oncorhynchus kisutch (coho salmon). RNAcentral's name for it is "U2 spliceosomal RNA (ENSOKIG00005019047.1)". It matches the Rfam family "U2 spliceosomal RNA". From Rfam's summary of the family: U2 is a small nuclear RNA (snRNA) component of the spliceosome (involved in pre-mRNA splicing). Complementary binding between U2 snRNA (in an area lying towards the 5' end but 3' to hairpin I) and the branchpoint sequence (BPS) of the intron results the bulging out of an unpaired adenosine, on the BPS, which initiates a nucleophilic attack at the intronic 5' splice site, thus starting the first of two transesterification reactions that mediate splicing. Lineage: Eukaryota; Metazoa; Chordata; Actinopteri; Salmoniformes; Salmonidae. The record is from Rfam by way of RNAcentral.